GAGGGGUAACGGGGAGCUUGCUCCGCCGACGACCGGCGCACGGGUGCGUAACGCGUAUACAAUCUACCUUUUGCUAUUGGAUAGCCCAGAGAAAUUUGGAUUAACACAAUAUAGUAUCAUAUUACCGCCUGGUAUUUAUGAUUAAAGGAUACGGCAAAAGAUGAGUAUGCGUCCUAUUAGCUAGAUGGCGUGGUAACGGCACCCCAUGGCAACGAUAGGUAGGGGCCCUGAGAGGGGGAUCCCCCACACUGGUACUGAGACACGGACCAGACUCCUACGGGAGGCAGCAGUGAGGAAUAUUGGACAAUGGAGGGAACUCUGAUCCAGCCAUGCCGCGUGCAGGAAGACUGCCCUAUGGGUUGUAAACUGCUUUUAUACAGGAAGAAACACUCCCUCGCGCAGGGAGCUUGACGGUACUGUAAGAAUAAGGAUCGGCUAACUCCGUGCCAGCAGCCGCGGUAAUACGGAGGAUCCAAGCGUUAUCCGGAAUCAUUGGGUUUAAAGGGUCCGUAGGUGGAUAAUUAAGUCAGGGGUGAAAGUCUGCAGCUCAACUGUAGAAUUGCCUUUGAUACUGGUUAUCUUGAAUUACUAUGAAGUAGUUAGAAUAUGUAGUGUAGCGGUGAAAUGCAUAGAUAUUACAUAGAAUACC
This 649-nucleotide ribosomal RNA is filed under the name Litoribaculum gwangyangense. RNAcentral describes it as "partial 16S ribosomal RNA". It matches the Rfam family "Bacterial small subunit ribosomal RNA", at positions 64 to 710 of the family's 1533-position model. RNAcentral also lists the same sequence under 1 other name. The record is from RNAcentral. Lineage: Bacteria; Pseudomonadati; Bacteroidota; Flavobacteriia; Flavobacteriales; Flavobacteriaceae.